This 902-nucleotide long non-coding RNA is filed under the name Nicotiana benthamiana. RNAcentral's name for it is "long non-coding RNA (NBEN_LNC042115)". The record is from RNAcentral. Lineage: Eukaryota; Viridiplantae; Streptophyta; Magnoliopsida; Solanales; Solanaceae.
GGUCAUCUACCUAUCUGAAUAGACAAAACCAUCAAUCAGAUCACCAAGAAUCUCCCCAAGCGUCUCUUUACCAAGAACAAACUCAGUCCCAGUUUUUAUUUUUUCUUCAUAAAUGUUGGGACUUCGAGGAACAAAAAGUGAUUCUAUUUAUGGAACUCAACAAUGUCAAGAAGUUCCUCUAUUUUUCAGCAAUAUCACAAUCAACACUCUGCCUAACAAUACUUUUUGAGACUUCAGGGUCUUCUACCUCUCCAAACCCGAAAACUCAACAUUUUGUUUCUAUAAGAAACCAGGUUCUCACUCACACUACCCUUUUUUCCUAAGCGACCAUGUCUCCCUCUUCUUCUUCUCAAUCUGUUCACCCUUAUCAUCUCUUGAAUCUAUCUCAGUCGACUUUCUUUUCUCCAUUUUUAUAUUUUUUGAAUUUUUUCUCAGACAUAAAGGUUUUUUGGAUUUAUUCUCUCUUGUACAUUCACCACAUCAACAGGUCACGCCAUUUUAUAAUCGAUCAACCUACUUUUCAUCAACUCUUUUUCUUUGAUCGAAGGUUCGUUUAAGCACAAAACUCAAGAGAAAAAGAUUAUCAAUAGAAUUAACAUCCUAAGAAGGAUUUGAGGGACCAUGUCCCCCACUUAGUUCCCCCUUUCCAGCUCAUUCACCAAUUCCUCCAUCUUUCAAGGCUUUUACCAAUCCAGCAAUAAUUUCAGCCUCACUCUCUAGAAUAUUAGAUCUACCAUGUUCCCUUUCAAUUAAAGUCCCUUCAAAAUCUACAAAAGAAUUCUUGGAGUUUUUAUUCAGAUGGAGUUAGGAUUUUGAAAAAUGACAUAGUUGGGUUCGCUUCUGAUAUACUUAGAGAUAAGGAUUCUUUUUCAGACAAGUUUGAUUUUGGUUUUGAAGAGAAU